This 1152-nucleotide long non-coding RNA is filed under the name Zonotrichia albicollis (white-throated sparrow). RNAcentral's name for it is "lncRNA (ENSZALG00000008673.1)". The record is from RNAcentral. Lineage: Eukaryota; Metazoa; Chordata; Aves; Passeriformes; Passerellidae.
CUCUUUUACAGCUGGGGUUUUAUGCCUAAUUGUGUUCUGGGGUCUUUUCUGCAGUGGUGCGGUGAUGUCCUUAAAAGGUGGCUAUUGCUAAAGUGGGGGGAGUUGUGGUGCUCUGCAAAAAAGAGACCUGAAGUGAGAGCAUAAGGAUGUAUAUCUUUACCUGGAUGUAUGGUUCUGUUUUGCGGAGCUGCAAGAAAUUAUUUUUCUUCCUUUCACAUAAUCACAGAAUUAUUUAGGCUGGAAAAGACCUUCAAGACCACUGAGUCCACACUUUGACCAAUCAGUACCUUAUCAACCAGGCCAUAGCACUGAAUCCACUCCAGUUGUUUCUUGAACACCUUUAGGGAUGGUGACUAGGUGGUCAAAUAGUUUACACAAACCCAGGAGACAGGCUGCAGCUAGAUGAUUUAGAUGUGGAGCUAGGUUUCAAAAGCUCCAAAAUUCAAUUACUUUUUCCAGCAGAUCUGGGCGUAAGUUUCAGUUUAUUAGGAAAGUAAAGUUCAGCUGGAAAAACUCCACAUGGAGAUCCAUUUCACAGCUUCAAAUGUGGGCAGUGGGAAACAGUUCUGGUGUCAGAUUUUGUCUCUCUUUCAGCAUAACUGAUUUUGUUUUUAUUUUAGUUGCUCAAGAGGAAAUUUAAAAUGCCACUGAACUGGUUGGCACAACAGUGCUGCAGUUUCUAAAGUCUCUUCUGAGUUCAUCUGCCAAAUGCAAUGAUGCACUGAACUUCAGGAAAAACUUCCAGAUGACAGUUUCCAAUCUCAACAGUUGCUAGUUGCAGGAAUGGCAGAACAGUUGGAGCAGUGAAGCUUUAAGCUAUUGUUCUUUUCUUUGGAGUAGCCUUGAAAGAAUGCACUCACAGACUUAGCAAGAAUGAACAGUUUUUUAACAGAUGAUUAAAAUUUAAUUUCUUUUUCACUGACAUCAAUCACCAAGAUAAGUAUCUUGAUUCUCAGCUGCUUGUAGUCAUUUGCAAAUAUGGAAGACUAUUUCCCCUCCGUCUGGAUGCGGCGUGGCGUGGCCUUUGGUCAAGUGUCCGGCUAGCAGGAGGGCGGCCAACACCCAACUGCAAAUGUGGGAGCACCCUGGCGUCAGUGGCCUUGGACUGUGCUCACUGUGGACAACAUUCACUGCUGAUGCCGACAAGAGAAA